GUUUAGGUAGCUCAGUUGGUUAGAGCAAAGGACUGAAAAUCCUUGUGUCGGUGGUUCAAAUCCACCUCUAGACA
RNAcentral lists this transfer RNA (74 nucleotides) under Tetraselmis sp. CCMP 881. RNAcentral describes it as "tRNA-Phe". It matches the Rfam family "tRNA". Rfam says of the family: Transfer RNA (tRNA) molecules are approximately 80 nucleotides in length. Lineage: Eukaryota; Viridiplantae; Chlorophyta; Chlorodendrophyceae; Chlorodendrales; Chlorodendraceae. The record is from RNAcentral.